This 468-nucleotide ribosomal RNA is filed under the name uncultured bacterium. Its description in RNAcentral is "partial 16S ribosomal RNA". It matches the Rfam family "Bacterial small subunit ribosomal RNA", at positions 28 to 507 of the family's 1533-position model. The record is from RNAcentral.
GACGAACGCUGGCGGCGUGCUUAACACAUGCAAGUCGAACGGAAAGGCCCUGCUUUUGUGGGGUGCUCGAGUGGCGAACGGGUGAGUAACACGUGAGUAACCUGCCCUUGACUUUGGGAUAACUUCAGGAAACUGGGGCUAAUACCGGAUAUGAGCUCCUGCUGCAUUGUGGGGGUUGGAAAGUUUCGGCAGUUGGGGAUGGACUCGCGGCUUAUCAGCUUGUUGGUGGGGUAGUGGCUUACCAAGGCUUUGACGGGUAGCCGGACUGAGAGGGUGACCGGCGACAUUGGGACUGAGAUACGGCACAGACGCCAACGGGAGGCAGCAGUGGGGAAUAUUGCACAAUGGGCGGAAGCCUGAUGAAGCAACGCCGCGUGCGGGAUGACGGCCUUCGGGUUGUAAACCGCUUUCGCCUGUGACGAAGCGUGAGUGACGGUAAUGGGUAAAGAAGCACCGGCUAACUACGUG